AAAAAGUGAAUCCAUGUAAAUCAGUGACAGCCAGAAAUUUAAAAUAUGUGUUUUUAAAUGAAACAUGAAAGAAAAUUUUUUUGACAGUCACCUUUCAAGCAUAUUGUUUAAUCAACGAAGUAAGCUUACUCAUCUGCAUAUCAAGUUGAAGUUUAAAUGUUAUUUGUCACAUACACGGUCAUACAAGUACAACAUGCAGUGAAAUGCUUGUGUCACGGGGGGGGGGACAGGCUGCAGACAUGGCAGUGCCAAAAAGAAAACAGUAAAAGUACACACAUCAGGGACAUGAAGAGAAAAAAAAAAGAACUCUACUUGAACUGGGCUCCUAACUGGGAACCAGUCGGAGGACAGUAAAAAAAACCCAUCUCAGCACAAAAAAAAGGCACAUGAAUAUUCACAUGUAAAAGGACGUGGCAGGACGUGCAGGAUAGUCGGACUGUCCCGAGCCCAGGCUUCUCGGUAGGGUGUCAACUUCGUUGAUGGACCAGUUGAUCAAAUCCAUAAUUCUUUAGGUUUUAGAGAACAAGGCUGAGAGACUGUCUGAGGGUUAGAGUUAGACGAGACUUGACAAGGACAUACAAGCCAAGCAUGAAAGAUAAGGGAUGAGAGGGUGAAAGAUGCAUCCGCCUCUGCCGAGAGUAAAAGUUGACAUGUCAUUAGUCACAUACACUGUAUUUUGAAUGACCUUACUGAAAGCACUGCAUGAGGUUCCUGUUUGACAGGUAAGAACAUGUAGAGCAGAUCCUGUAAUACCAGCCAGUAUUUCUAGAUAAUACAGGUGAUCAGAUAGUGUUAAUGGAUAGUAUUGAAGACCUUCAGGAAGGCUGAAACUCUAAAGCCCAGACUGAAGUCUAGUCAAAUAUUCUAUUAGUUAUUAUUCAUAAAAUAAAUACAUUCAACUGAAAUAAUUUCAUUAAGGAGCUCUAUAAAUCUACAGUUCAGAAAAGGUUUAGAAAUCAUUCAGUAAGAGCAGGUUCAGGUUUGCUGUUACUGAAUGAAAAAAACUAAACUAAAUACCCACAUGCUGGAGAGAAAUAUCAUAAAUUAAAGAACCAUUAUCAAUAAAAAUAAUGAAAUGCUCCACAAUGCGUUUGCAGGGUGUGCAUAUUUGUCCAUAGGGUGCUGUAUUUAUUGAUGGGGUCUCUAGUUCUAGUCUCUCUCAGAGGUUUCAUAGAUGUUGCAAGAAGCUGUUAAGUCCACAACAUACUUUUAUUCACACUGCUGUUGAACUUGCUUUUGAAUGCAAUGUGAAUAAUACAGAAGAAAUAAGAUAAAUUGUUUACUUACUUUGUUCAGUUUUUCUUUCUAGAAAUAAAAACGUAAGAAAUAUUUAAGCUAAUAAGCUAAUAACAAGUAUUGGCCUAUUAGCUUAGAUCAUCUGAAAAUGUCACCUUUCUUCUUUGCAAACAUAAAAUCAAAGGAGGAUGAAACAACAUCGGUAACCACAGCAGCAAUGAUCAUCACGUCCAAGGGCCUCUCUGCUCAGUCAAAACAAACAAGCCAGAUAAAAUGUGAAUAUGAAGCAGAAUAGAAGAACAUCCAUUCAUCCUGUAGUAUUCUCCUAGCUAUAAUAUAAAUCCCAUAAUGGUGAGGGGUAAUAAAUAUAGCACAAUUUCUCAGUCUCAAAUGCUAUGACAUAUUUAAGCUAAGCAGAGCUAAAAUUCACACUAAAAUUUUGUUGCUGACAUUUAACCCUAUACAGGAGCUUUGUGUGUUUUUUCUUAGACUGAAAAAUAAAUAAUUACAGACACUACUGAAGUCCAGUUUUUUUUCCAGAUUCUGCUUGAGGUCCAAACAAAAACAGGAUAAGACAUUUCAAACACCACAUUAUCAGGAAUCCAUAGUAAAAGCAAACAAAAUAAAUAAAAUGAUUUAACCUCACCUUUCGUACUGUUUUGUCCCCAUUUGGUUCUUAUCACUGUUUAUUAAAUCUAGUGAUUAUGUCCUUACCAUCAGAGAGCUGAAACACAAAGUCUUAUCUUAUCCAGUCUUCAGGUUUGACUGAUGAAACAUUCAGAUCAACAAUAAUCUGAAAAGUCUCAUCAUUGUUGGGAAGGAUUUCUUCAGGUUCCACGCCUUAAUAAAGCUCCUUUCCAUCAUUUUUUCAGAGCAUCUCGGCUUUGUCAGGAUAGAAACCUGUAGCGUGGCAACUGACUGGAGAGGAGGGAGUCUUCUGGAGGAGAAACACUAAGGGAAGAACAGAAGAGAUGGAAUGGGGGAAAGAGAAGGAGUAUGAAUCCAUGGAAGAAGUAAACAUGGCAACAACAGAAAAUGUAGCAAAUAUAAAGAUGGAAGAGAUCAAUUGGAAAACAUCAACAAAAUAUCUCUGCCUGAAAUCAGUCUCAUAGAAAUGAAACUGCAUCAGGUCAUUCUACCUGUUUUCUGUACAAAACCUAUUAUUUUUUUCUAAAAAGGAUCUUCACCCAAAUAUCUAAAAAAAAAAAAAAAAAAAAUCAUAUUUAAAAUUAUAUUAGGUUGUCGAUUUACUUUUAAGCCUCUGAAAGUGGGGGACUAUGUAUAAAAAAGAGUUUGGACCACGAUGCAGAGUUGCAGUCUUACACACCUCUCUGCAGUUUAUUUCAAAAAGAUAUAUUCACAAAGAAAGAACACAUUUUUAAGUGCACUAAAGACUAAGUGGGUUAAGUUUGGACUAUUUAACAUUAGGGCUAUCUCUUUUAAGUCUGUGUUAGUAAUUUGUUUAAUAAAUUACCAAUAUUUUUUAUAUUAAAAUAAAAAGAAAUAAAAGUAUUGUUUUGUUCUACCUUGCAGAAACCUGGUUACAGCAGGAUGAAUGCAUGCAUGUCCAUUUGAAAGUCUGAAAUGGACAUGAUGGAUUGACAUGUCUUAGGCACAGUCAUACGGUUUACUUUAUUUUUGUAUGUUGACUUAAUGCUAAAUGGAACUUGAUAAGAAAAAAACAUAAUCAACAUUGAUAUUUAAUCUGAUUCUAACCACAGAGCAACCUGAACAUAUCACACUUGCCCUUUAUUUUGUUGUCAACUAAAACACUAUUAACAUUUAAUGACUAAAUCUUACAUAGAUGAGAGAAUAUUGAUGACACAUGUCAACACAACAGAUAAAAAGACAAAAAUACGAUCACUCUGCAAAGAGAUUAAAAUUCCCUGUUAAAAUUCCCUAAUUAUCUGUUUCAGUCAGCAACACUCAUGACCUUAGUGUUGAACUUGGUAUAAACUGAAUCUAAUCUUAAAAGGACAUAAAUGUCCUUCUUUGAAUGAUACUUACGCAAUAACUUGCAUUGUUUUAAGUGUACUUUCAAAUUUGCGUGUUGAUCUUUGUCUUUCCUUGUGUCACCACUCACACCUGCAUUCUAAAAAAGAAUCGUCCCUGCCAAGCGUUCCACACAGAUCAUGCAAAUCUAUUUACACAUAAAUGUAGUAAUGCGUAGCAUCUAUAUGGAACCCAAUGUGGACAAAAAUACUUUGGCAGUUGUUUACGAAACAAAAAGGGAAGAAACAUUAUGAUGUGCUUCUUCUUGAGCUGUUGUUAGCACAAAAUAUCAACAACUCGACUUUGUACCUAUUGUUAAUUAUUAUUCAGUUUUAAGCCAAGAUCACACAUAAAUCCAUAUAAAUGUAACUCUGCAUGUGCAGAACAUGCUCUCCAAAGGGUUCACUCACUUUUGGCACAGCAACACUUAAAGCUGCAAAGAUCUAAGCUAAGAUAUCUCUGAACCAUAAAUAAAGAAUAGAAGAAAGAAUACAUGAAUUAACUGUUUGGAGACUGGAAGAAAAUUUAAUGAACAUAUAUAUUCCUUAGAGGAUGGAACCUUAGUUUUUGUUGAACAGAACCCCUCAGAACAGAAGACAAACAAAAAUCUACAGGUGUUUCCUGCAUGUCCCAUACAUAAUGUAGAGAUGUAUAGAUAGCUAACAAUUCCACAUAAAUUGAGGUGCCAUACAGGUAUUUAUAUUGAACUGGUCUAACGGGAGGCCAUACUUUUGUCUCUCACUAAUGUCGCCUUUGCUAGUUUUCUCUCUCAAUAUCAUACUAAAUAUUAUGCAGUAAAUAGCAAACUAUGCAGUAAAAUAUUUUAUAUCUAAAUUUAGGUACAUUUCAGACUUUGAAGAUCCUGUUUACUCAUAUUUUUCUUAACCUGGUGCAGAUAUUCAGGUCUUUCUCGUACAAGUGGGAGUGACUACAUGAUGACUCAUACCUAAACCGCUAUAUAGUGAUUCCAAACAGAGGU
This is a long non-coding RNA of Oreochromis niloticus (Nile tilapia), 4207 nucleotides long. The record is from Ensembl. NCBI's taxonomy places the organism in Eukaryota, Metazoa, Chordata, Actinopteri, Cichliformes, Cichlidae.